Molecule: ribosomal RNA, 254 nt
Filed under: uncultured bacterium
Lineage: Bacteria
Description: partial 16S ribosomal RNA
Rfam family: Bacterial small subunit ribosomal RNA
Source: RNAcentral
GACAUAGGUGGCAAACGUUAUCCGGAAUUAUUGGGCGUAAAGAGUGCGUAGGUGGUUUAAUAAGUUACUGGUGGGAAAUCGGGGCUCAACCCCGUGGAAGUCAGUAAUACUAUUAAACUAGAGGACCGGAGAGGUUAACGGAAUUCUAUGUGUAGCGGUAAAAUGCGUAAAUAUAUAGAGGAACACCAAGUGGCGAAGGCAGUUAACUAUUCGGCUCCUGACGUUGAGGCACGAAAGCGUGGGGAGCAAGACGG